CGGCGUACGGGUGAGUAACACGUGGAUGAUCUACCUUCUAGUGGGGGAGUAACCCUGGGAAACCGGGGCUAAUACCGCAUAAGCCUGUGAAGGGAAAGCAGCAAUGCGCUGGAAGAGGAGUCCGCGGCCGAUUAGCUAGUUGGUGAGGUAAUGGCCUACCAAGGCUACGAUCGAUAGCCGGCCUGAGAGGGCACACGGCCACACUGGCACUGAAACACGGGCCAG
This 225-nucleotide ribosomal RNA is filed under the name uncultured bacterium. RNAcentral describes it as "partial 16S ribosomal RNA". It matches the Rfam family "Bacterial small subunit ribosomal RNA", at positions 96 to 334 of the family's 1533-position model. The record is from RNAcentral.